GCCGGGCGAGUUUUACCGAUCUGUGUUCCGCGGCCCGGCCGCGGCUGAGUCUUCCCAGGGUCAGGGUCGGGCGCUUUGCUGAGUCCCUUUGUGGCCGCCAUGGACAAUUCCGGGAAGGAAGCGGAGGCGAUGGCGCUGUUGGCCGAGGCGGAGCGCAAAGUGAAGAACUCGCAGUCCUUCUUCUCUGGCCUCUUUGGAGGCUCAUCCAAAAUAGAGGAAGCAUGCGAAAUCUACGCCAGAGCAGCAAACAUGUUCAAAAUGGCCAAAAACUGGAGUGCUGCUGGAAACGCGUUCUGCCAGGCUGCACAGCUGCACCUGCAGCUCCAGAGCAAGCACGACGCAGCCACCUGCUUUGUGGACGCUGGCAACGCAUUCAAGAAAGCCGACCCCCAAGUCCCUUUUAGAUCCCCAGAGGUCUUUCUGAAUUGGACAAAACCUACAGACCCCACUCCCCAGAGGAGUGCUUAUGGACCCCACUGUUUACAUGUCAGAAGGAGGGGUUGGACUCCCUGAAAGCCCAGCCACAGACCUGAGACAAAGAGCCUCUGUCCAGAUGCCUCCCCACGGAGGGAGUUUGGAGUCCCAUCCAGACCGUGAGCCCCUUGAGAGGAGCCCAGCCCCGGCGCUACUUGGUAGCACCCUCUUCUCAGGCGAACAUGGCCUGGGUGACCAUGGAGACCCCCACGGUGACCAGGAACUUUCAGAUGCCCAGGCUGAAGCUCAGAGCCCAUGCCCUGUGGCCUGUCCAAGCUCCCUGCCUUUCCCUCUCCCCAACCCAGGCCUCCCUCCCCACAACACCCCUAUCCUCCUGAGAUGUGCUAAAAUGGUGUUCUUAAAAAAUACCCCCUGAGAGCUCAUUUCUAUCUGCUAGAAAAUGCCUCCCACUCAUGCUUUUCUCUCUCCUCCAAAUAACUUGUCAAAAAAAAGCCUUUCCCAAAUUUAAAAUCUUGCAAGAGAUAGUACAACAAAGGUAGCCCAGUUCUUCCUCAGUGCCAUCCUGGUGUGUUCAGGUUUUUUGGCAAAACCUUUGAGGAGCUGGUGGGUGGCAGGACUAGGUUAAAGGGACUGAGCAGAGGGCUCCCGACUGCUGAGCUACGAGGAAGAGGGGGCAGUGGAGAGCACACUGAGGGCUCAGUGUUGAUGACAUCCAGCCUCCUCGUGCCAGAGGUCCAGGUCCUCCUGGUGCAGGAACAGAAGCUGCUCAGGAUCCUGCAGAGAUGGUGGCAGAGCCCAGGUAGAACCUGGCACCCCUGUUGCCUCCAAGACCACCUGAGAUGCUGGCUUGGCCGCCUCCCAUGCCUCCUUCCCCUUUGCCAGCAGCUCAGUCCUUCAAGAGCAGGGCCUUGGCAGGUCUGUCUUAAAACACCCGUGGGAGUCUGGCCAUCAUCCUGGCCUAGCACUGCUGUGCCCUGUCCCUGGGGUUGUGGGAAGCUGGUAGCAUCCUGGCAGCCCGAGGAGAGAAGGGCUCCCCCAGAAGCAUGUGCCCAGCAAGUCACAGUCUGCAGAGUCAGCCCUCUCACCAGAUUUCCUGGGGCUCA
RNAcentral lists this small RNA (1538 nucleotides) under Pan troglodytes (chimpanzee). RNAcentral's name for it is "processed transcript". The record is from RNAcentral. Lineage: Eukaryota; Metazoa; Chordata; Mammalia; Primates; Hominidae.